This 690-nucleotide ribosomal RNA is filed under the name Escherichia coli. Its description in RNAcentral is "partial 23S ribosomal RNA". It matches the Rfam family "Bacterial large subunit ribosomal RNA", at positions 502 to 1191 of the family's 2925-position model. The record is from RNAcentral. Lineage: Bacteria; Pseudomonadati; Pseudomonadota; Gammaproteobacteria; Enterobacterales; Enterobacteriaceae.
CGUGAGGGAAAGGCGAAAAGAACCCCGGCGAGGGGAGUGAAAAAGAACCUGAAACCGUGUACGUACAAGCAGUGGGAGCACAGAGCAAUCUGUGUGACUGCGUACCUUUUGUAUAAUGGGUCAGCGACUUAUAUUCUGUAGCAAGGUUAACCGAAUAGGGGAGCCGAAGGGAAACCGAGUCUUAACUGGGCGUUAAGUUGCAGGGUAUAGACCCGAAACCCGGUGAUCUAGCCAUGGGCAGGUUGAAGGUUGGGUAACACUAACUGGAGGACCGAACCGACUAAUGUUGAAAAAUUAGCGGAUGACUUGUGGCUGGGGGUGAAAGGCCAAUCAAACCGGGAGAUAGCUGGUUCUCCCCGAAAGCUAUUUAGGUAGCGCCUCGUGAAUUCAUCUCCGGGGGUAGAGCACUGUUUCGGCAAGGGGGUCAUCCCGACUUACCAACCCGAUGCAAACUGCGAAUACCGGAGAAUGUUAUCACGGGAGACACACGGCGGGUGCUAACGUCCGUCGUGAAGAGGGAAACAACCCAGACCGCCAGCUAAGGUCCCAAAGUCAUGGUUAAGUGGGAAACGAUGUGGGAAGGCCCAGACAGCCAGGAUGUUGGCUUAGAAGCAGCCAUCAUUUAAAGAAAGCGUAAUAGCUCACUGGUCGAGUCGGCCUGCGCGGAAGAUGUAACGGGGCUAAACCAUG